GAUGAAGAACGCAGCGAAAUGCGAUAAGUAGUGUGAAUUGCAGAAUUCAGUGAUUCAUCGAAUCUUUGAACGCACAUUGCGCCUCCUGGUAUUCCGGGAGGCAUGCCUGUUCGAGCGUCAUUAAAAUCACUCAAGCUUAGGUUUACCUAUUGCUUGGUCUUGGAGAUGGAAGCCAAUUUAUUGGAAUCCUCUUCGAAAUUCAAUGGCGAAGACCCUUGCUCUCCCAAGUGUAGUAAUAACUUAUGUCACUGAAGGAAGCGAGAAAUCUUCUGCCGUAACCCCCAUAUUUUCUAUGAUUGACCUCGGAUCAGGUAGGGAUACCCGCUGAACUUAAGCAUAUCAAUAAGCGGAGGA
Molecule: unclassified non-coding RNA, 354 nt
Filed under: soil metagenome
Description: partial contains 5.8S ribosomal RNA, internal transcribed spacer 2, and large subunit ribosomal RNA
Rfam family: 5.8S ribosomal RNA (bases 1-120)
Source: RNAcentral